UACGGAGGGUGCAAGCGUUAUCCGGAUUCACUGGGUUUAAAGGGUGCGUAGCCGGAUUCUUAAGUCCGUGGUGAAAUCUCCAAGCUUAACUUGGAAACUGCCAUGGAUACUAUUAGUCUUGAAUGUUGUGGAGGUUAGCGGAAUAUGUCAUGUAGCGGUGAAAUGCAUAGAUAUGACAUAGAACACCAAUUGCGAAGGCAGCUGGCUACACAAAUAUUGACGCUGAGGCACGAAAGCGUGGGGAGCAAACAGG
Molecule: ribosomal RNA, 253 nt
Filed under: uncultured bacterium
Lineage: Bacteria
Description: partial 16S ribosomal RNA
Rfam family: Bacterial small subunit ribosomal RNA
Source: RNAcentral